AUCUCACACUGUCAAGAAAAAUCUCUAUCGAGGUUAAAGGUACCCGUACCGCAAACCGACACAGGUGGGUGAAGAGAGUAUCCUAAGGCCAGCGAGAGAACUGUUGUUAAGGAACGCGGCAAAAUGACCCCGUAACUUAGGGAUAAGGGGUGCCACCAUCAGGUGGCCGCAGGGAAUAGGCCCAAGCGACUGUUUACCAAAAACAUAGGUUUCUGCUAAGUCGCAAGACGAUGUAUAGGAGCUGACGCCUGCCCGGUGCUGGAAGGUUAAGGGGAUCUGUUAGAG
RNAcentral lists this ribosomal RNA (285 nucleotides) under Clostridioides difficile. RNAcentral describes it as "partial 23S ribosomal RNA". It matches the Rfam family "Bacterial large subunit ribosomal RNA", at positions 1597 to 1895 of the family's 2925-position model. The record is from RNAcentral. Lineage: Bacteria; Bacillati; Bacillota; Clostridia; Peptostreptococcales; Peptostreptococcaceae.